RNAcentral lists this long non-coding RNA (460 nucleotides) under Heterocephalus glaber (naked mole-rat). Its description in RNAcentral is "lncRNA (ENSHGLG00000050725.1)". Lineage: Eukaryota; Metazoa; Chordata; Mammalia; Rodentia; Bathyergidae. The record is from RNAcentral.
AUCACCUGUAAUCCCAGCACUUGGGAGGCUGAGGCAAGAGGAUUGCCUAGACCUUCUCUCUCAAAAAAAAAAAAAAAAAAGGUUCCAGUACAUAGCUGGAAGCAUGUGGCAAAGGAAAGCUGCUCACCUCCUGGCAGACCGAGAGGUAAGGGAGGGCUGAGGACAAGACAUACCCUUCUAGUUACACCCCCAGUGACCUACUGCCCCCAACUGGGCUCACCUUUUAACACCCCUUCAGUUAUGAACUCUUCAAUGGGUUAAUCUAUUGAUGAAGUUUUGUGUCCUUGUGAUCCAAUCACCUCUCUAGGCCCCACCUGCUGCCCUGGGACUCAAGCCCUAGAUACAUGAGUUAAAGAAGCUGGGUGUGGGCCUGCAUGCCUGUAAUCCCAGGUACUGGGGAGACUGAGGCAGGAGUUUGCAGUUUCACGGUCAGUGUGGGCAAUUUAGUGAGAUUGUGCCC